Molecule: ribosomal RNA, 572 nt
Filed under: uncultured Cytophagales bacterium
Lineage: Bacteria; Pseudomonadati; Bacteroidota; Sphingobacteriia; Sphingobacteriales
Description: bacterial SSU rRNA
Rfam family: Bacterial small subunit ribosomal RNA
Source: RNAcentral
GAGUUUGAUUCUGGCUCAGGCACGUAACGCUAGCGGCAGGCCUAACACAUGCAAGUCGAACGGUAAGGUCCCUUCGGGGAUACACGAGUGGCGCACGGGUGCGUAACGCGUAUACAACCUACCUCGAAGUGGGGGAUAGCCUCGGGAAACUGAGAUUAAUACCCCAUAGUACUACGGAAUCACCUGUUUCUGUAGUUAAAGCUCCGGCGCUUCGAGAUGGGUAUGCGUCUGAUUAGCUAGUUGGUGAGGUAACGGCUCACCAAGGCAACGAUCAGUAGCUGGUCUGAGAGGAUGAUCAGCCACACGGGAACUGAGACACGGUCCCGACUCCUACGGGAGGCAGCAGUGAGGAAUAUUGGACAAUGGACGCAAGUCUGAUCCAGCCAUGCCGCGUGGUGGAUGAAGGCCCUCCGGGUCGUAAACACCUUUUAUAUAGGACUAAUAAGGUGGUAUACUCACCGAUGCAGGUACUAUAUGAAUAAGCACCGGCUAACUACGUGCCAGCAGCCGCGGUAACACGUAGGGUGCAAGCGUUGUCCGGAUUUAUUGGGUUUAAAGGGUGCGUAGGCGGU